Molecule: ribosomal RNA, 433 nt
Filed under: uncultured bacterium
Lineage: Bacteria
Description: partial 16S ribosomal RNA
Rfam family: Bacterial small subunit ribosomal RNA
Source: RNAcentral
AACGAACGCUGGCGGCAUGCCUAACACAUGCAAGUCGAACGAGACCUUCGGGUCUAGUGGCGCACGGGUGCGUAACGCGUGGGAACCUGCCUUUAGGUUCGGAAUAACUCAGAGAAAUUUGAGCUAAUACCGGAUGAUGUCUUCGGACCAAAGAUUUAUCGCCUUUAGAUGGGCCCGCGUUGGAUUAGCUAGUUGGUGGGGUAAAGGCCUACCAAGGCGACGAUCCAUAGCUGGUCUGAGAGGAUGAUCAGCCACACUGGGACUGAGACACGGCCCAGACUCCUACGGGAGGCAGCAGUGGGGAAUAUUGGAAAAUGGGCGAAAGCCUGAUCCAGCAAUGCCGCGUGAGUGAUGAAGGCCUUAGGGUUGUAAAGCUCUUUUACCCGAGAUGAUAGUGACAGUAUCGGGAGAAUAAGCUCCGGCUAACUCCGUG